AAUAGAUACCCCGGUAGUCCACGCCGUAAACGAUGAGUGCUAAGUGUUAGAGGGUUUCCGCCCUUUAGUGCUGCAGCUAACGCAUUAAGCACUCCGCCUGGGGAGUACGGUCGCAAGACUGAAACUCAAAGGGAAUUGACGGGGGCCCGCACAAGCGGUGGAGCAUGUGGUUUAAUUCGAAGCAACGCGAAGAACCUUACCAGGUCUUGACAUCCUCUGACAACUCUAGAGAUAGAGCGUUCCCCUUCGGGGGACAGAGUGACAGGUGGUGCAUGGUUGUCGUCAGCUCGUGUCGUGAGAUGUUGGGUUAAGUCCCGCAACGAGCGCAACCCUUGAUCUUAGUUGCCAGCAUUCAGUUGGGCACUCUAAGGUGACUGCCGGUGACAAACCGGAGGAAGGUGGGGAUGACGUCAAAUCAUCAUGCCCCUUAUGACCUGGGCUACACACGUGCUACAAUGGAUGGUACAAAGGGCUGCAAGACCGCGAGGUCAAGCCAAUCCCAUAAAACCAUUCUCAGUUCGGAUUGUAGG
Molecule: ribosomal RNA, 530 nt
Filed under: uncultured bacterium
Lineage: Bacteria
Description: bacterial SSU rRNA
Rfam family: Bacterial small subunit ribosomal RNA
Source: RNAcentral